CUAACCUCCAUGCUGAAAGUCAUGUUUAACCAAUAAUGUUAGCCUUAAUUAAUUGUCAGUUAAAGUUAAAUAUUACAAAAAUAAAAACUAUCUGAAAGUCAUGCAUAUAAAAAUAAUUCUCAUGCAAUAUUAGUUUCAUGCAAAAGGUGAUCUAUAAGUAGACCUCUUUUCAUUAAGUAUCUUGGGAAUCAAGACUUUUCAGAACGGAAUUGAGAAUCUGUGAAGAUAUACUUGCUCUUACCUUUAAAAUAGCCACCAUAAAUAGAUUCACCUCCUUUUCCAUUACCUUCACUGAAGUCCCCACCCUGAAUCAUGAAGUUUUUAACCACGCGAUGGAACGUAGUGCCUUUGUAGCACAACUUCUUCCCAGUUGUUUUGCCAAUUCCUUUUUCACCCGAGCACAAGCAAAGGAAGUUUUUGCAAGUCUUUGGACAUAUGUCUGAGAAGAGCUGAAACAUAAUUCGACCAACUGGCUCGCGGUUGAUCUCGAUGUCGAAGAAGCACUGCGGUCGGUCCUGCACGCCCAUGGCCGCGCGGCCCCGCGGCGCCCGGCUCAGCACCUGGCAGCUCGUGCGCUUUGUCCCCGCUCCACGCCGCGCC
This 600-nucleotide long non-coding RNA is filed under the name Gallus gallus (chicken). Lineage: Eukaryota; Metazoa; Chordata; Aves; Galliformes; Phasianidae. The record is from RNAcentral.